This 103-nucleotide small nuclear RNA is filed under the name Choloepus hoffmanni (Hoffmann's two-fingered sloth). The record is from RNAcentral. Lineage: Eukaryota; Metazoa; Chordata; Mammalia; Pilosa; Megalonychidae.
GUGCUCACUCAGCAGCACAUAUACUAAAAUUGGAACAAUACAGAGAUUAGCAUGGCCCCUGUGCAAGGAUGACAUGCAAAUUUGUGAAGCAUUCCAUAUUUAA